GAUGAACGCUGGCUACAGGCUUAACACAUGCAAGUCGAGGGGAAACGACGGGGAAGCUUGCUUCCCCGGGCGUCGACCGGCGCACGGGUGAGUAACGCGUAUCCAACCUGCCUCUGACUGAGGGAUAACCCGUCGAAAGUCGGCCUAAUACCUCAUGGCAUCGUCUGCGGGCAUCCAACGACGAUUAAAGAUUUCAUCGGUCAGGGAUGGGGAUGCGUCUGAUUAGCUUGUUGGCGGGGUAACGGCCCACCAAGGCUACGAUCAGUAGGGGUUCUGAGAGGAAGGUCCCCCACAUUGGAACUGAGACACGGUCCAAACUCCUACGGGAGGCAGCAGUGAGGAAUAUUGGUCAAUGGGCGGGAGCCUGAACCAGCCAAGUAGCGUGCAGGAGGACGGCCCUAUGGGUUGUAAACUGCUUUUAUGCGGGGAUAAAGUGGGGGACGUGUCCUUCAUUGCAGGUACCGCAUGAAUAAGGACCGGCUAAUUCCGUG
Molecule: ribosomal RNA, 491 nt
Filed under: uncultured bacterium
Lineage: Bacteria
Description: partial 16S ribosomal RNA
Rfam family: Bacterial small subunit ribosomal RNA
Source: RNAcentral